UACGGGGGGGGCAAGCGUUGUUCGGAAUUACUGGGCGUAAAGGGCUCGUAGGUGGCCAACUAAGUCAGACGUGAAAUCCCUCGGCUUAACCGGGGAACUGCGUCUGAUACUGGAUGGCUUGAGUUUGGGAGAGGGACGCGGAAUUCCAGGUUUAGCGGUGAAAUGCGUAGAUAUCUGGAGGAACACCGGUGGCGAAGGCGGCGUCCUGGACCAACACUGACACUGAGGAGCGAAAGCCAGGGGAGCAAACGGG
Molecule: ribosomal RNA, 253 nt
Filed under: uncultured bacterium
Lineage: Bacteria
Description: partial 16S ribosomal RNA
Rfam family: Bacterial small subunit ribosomal RNA
Source: RNAcentral